RNAcentral lists this ribosomal RNA (465 nucleotides) under Vreelandella stevensii. RNAcentral's name for it is "partial 16S ribosomal RNA". It matches the Rfam family "Bacterial small subunit ribosomal RNA", at positions 338 to 795 of the family's 1533-position model. The record is from RNAcentral. Lineage: Bacteria; Pseudomonadati; Pseudomonadota; Gammaproteobacteria; Oceanospirillales; Halomonadaceae.
CCUACGGGAGGCUGCAGUGGGGAAUAUUGGACAAUGGGGGCAACCCUGAUCCAGCCAUGCCGCGUGUGUGAAGAAGGCCCUCGGGUUGUAAAGCACUUUCAGUGAGGAAGAACGCCUGGUGGUUAAUACCCAUCAGGAAAGACAUCACUCACAGAAGAAGCAUCGGCUAACUCCGUGCCAGCAGCCGCGGUAAUACGGAGGGUGCGAGCGUUAAUCGGAAUUACUGGGCGUAAAGCGCGCGUAGGUGGCUUGAUAAGCCGGUUGUGAAAGCCCCGGGCUCAACCUGGGAACGGCAUCCGGAACUGUCAAGCUAGAGUGCAGGAGAGGAAGGUAGAAUUCCCGGUGUAGCGGUGAAAUGCGUAGAGAUCGGGAGGAAUACCAGUGGCGAAGGCGGCCUUCUGGACUGACACUGACACUGAGGUGCGAAAGCGUGGGUAGCAAACAGGAUUAGAUACCCGAGUAGUC